UUAAGCGACUAAGCGUACACGGUGGAUGCCCUGGCAGUCAGAGGCGAUGAAGGACGUGCUAAUCUGCGAUAAGCGUCGGUAAGGUGAUAUGAACCGUUAUAACCGGCGAUUUCCGAAUGGGGAAACCCAGUGUGUUUCGACACACUAUCAUUAACUGAAUCCAUAGGUUAAUGAGGCGAACCGGGGGAACUGAAACAUCUAAGUACCCCGAGGAAAAGAAAUCAACCGAGAUUCCCCCAGUAGCGGCGAGCGAACGGGGAGCAGCCCAGAGCCUGAAUCAGUGUGUGUGUUAGUGGAAGCGUCUGGAAAGGCGCGCGAUACAGGGUGACAGCCCCGUACACAAAAAUGCACAUGCUGUGAGCUCGAUGAGUAGGGCGGGACACGUGGUAUCCUGUCUGAAUAUGGGGGGACCAUCCUCCAAGGCUAAAUACUCCUGACUGACCGAUAGUGAACCAGUACCGUGAGGGAAAGGCGAAAAGAACCCCGGCGAGGGGAGUGAAAAAGAACCUGAAACCGUGUACGUACAAGCAGUGGGAGCACGCUUAGGCGUGUGACUGCGUACCUUUUGUAUAAUGGGUCAGCGACUUAUAUUCUGUAGCAAGGUUAACCGAAUAGGGGAGCCGAAGGGAAACCGAGUCUUAACUGGGCGUUAAGUUGCAGGGUAUAGACCCGAAACCCGGUGAUCUAGCCAUGGGCAGGUUGAAGGUUGGGUAACACUAACUGGAGGACCGAACCGACUAAUGUUGAAAAAUUAGCGGAUGACUUGUGGCUGGGGGUGAAAGGCCAAUCAAACCGGGAGAUAGCUGGUUCUCCCCGAAAGCUAUUUAGGUAGCGCCUCGUGAAUUCAUCUCCGGGGGUAGAGCACUGUUUCGGCAAGGGGGUCAUCCCGACUUACCAACCCGAUGCAAACUGCGAAUACCGGAGAAUGUUAUCACGGGAGACACACGGCGGGUGCUAACGUCCGUCGUGAAGAGGGAAACAACCCAGACCGCCAGCUAAGGUCCCAAAGUCAUGGUUAAGUGGGAAACGAUGUGGGAAGGCCCAGACAGCCAGGAUGUUGGCUUAGAAGCAGCCAUCAUUUAAAGAAAGCGUAAUAGCUCACUGGUCGAGUCGGCCUGCGCGGAAGAUGUAACGGGGCUAAACCAUGCACCGAAGCUGCGGCAGCGACACUGUGUGUUGUUGGGUAGGGGAGCGUUCUGUAAGCCUGUGAAGGUGUACUGUGAGGUAUGCUGGAGGUAUCAGAAGUGCGAAUGCUGACAUAAGUAACGAUAAAGCGGGUGAAAAGCCCGCUCGCCGGAAGACCAAGGGUUCCUGUCCAACGUUAAUCGGGGCAGGGUGAGUCGACCCCUAAGGCGAGGCCGAAAGGCGUAGUCGAUGGGAAACAGGUUAAUAUUCCUGUACUUGGUGUUACUGCGAAGGGGGGACGGAGAAGGCUAUGUUGGCCGGGCGACGGUUGUCCCGGUUUAAGCGUGUAGGCUGGUUUUCCAGGCAAAUCCGGAAAAUCAAGGCUGAGGCGUGAUGACGAGGCACUACGGUGCUGAAGCAACAAAUGCCCUGCUUCCAGGAAAAGCCUCUAAGCAUCAGGUAACAUCAAAUCGUACCCCAAACCGACACAGGUGGUCAGGUAGAGAAUACCAAGGCGCUUGAGAGAACUCGGGUGAAGGAACUAGGCAAAAUGGUGCCGUAACUUCGGGAGAAGGCACGCUGAUAUGUAGGUGAAGUCCCUCGCGGAUGGAGCUGAAAUCAGUCGAAGAUACCAGCUGGCUGCAACUGUUUAUUAAAAACACAGCACUGUGCAAACACGAAAGUGGACGUAUACGGUGUGACGCCUGCCCGGUGCCGGAAGGUUAAUUGAUGGGGUUAGCGCAAGCGAAGCUCUUGAUCGAAGCCCCGGUAAACGGCGGCCGUAACUAUAACGGUCCUAAGGUAGCGAAAUUCCUUGUCGGGUAAGUUCCGACCUGCACGAAUGGCGUAAUGAUGGCCAGGCUGUCUCCACCCGAGACUCAGUGAAAUUGAACUCGCUGUGAAGAUGCAGUGUACCCGCGGCAAGACGGAAAGACCCCGUGAACCUUUACUAUAGCUUGACACUGAACAUUGAGCCUUGAUGUGUAGGAUAGGUGGGAGGCUUUGAAGUGUGGACGCCAGUCUGCAUGGAGCCGACCUUGAAAUACCACCCUUUAAUGUUUGAUGUUCUAACGUGGACCCGUGAUCCGGGUUGCGGACAGUGUCUGGUGGGUAGUUUGACUGGGGCGGUCUCCUCCUAAAGAGUAACGGAGGAGCACGAAGGUUGGCUAAUCCUGGUCGGACAUCAGGAGGUUAGUGCAAUGGCAUAAGCCAGCUUGACUGCGAGCGUGACGGCGCGAGCAGGUGCGAAAGCAGGUCAUAGUGAUCCGGUGGUUCUGAAUGGAAGGGCCAUCGCUCAACGGAUAAAAGGUACUCCGGGGAUAACAGGCUGAUACCGCCCAAGAGUUCAUAUCGACGGCGGUGUUUGGCACCUCGAUGUCGGCUCAUCACAUCCUGGGGCUGAAGUAGGUCCCAAGGGUAUGGCUGUUCGCCAUUUAAAGUGGUACGCGAGCUGGGUUUAGAACGUCGUGAGACAGUUCGGUCCCUAUCUGCCGUGGGCGCUGGAGAACUGAGGGGGGCUGCUCCUAGUACGAGAGGACCGGAGUGGACGCAUCACUGGUGUUCGGGUUGUCAUGCCAAUGGCACUGCCCGGUAGCUAAAUGCGGAAGAGAUAAGUGCUGAAAGCAUCUAAGCACGAAACUUGCCCCGAGAUGAGUUCUCCCUGACUCCUUGAGAGUCCUGAAGGAACGUUGAAGACGACGACGUUGAUAGGCCGGGUGUGUAAGCGCAGCGAUGCGUUGAGCUAACCGGUACUAAUGAACCGUGAGGCUUAACCUU
This 2901-nucleotide ribosomal RNA is filed under the name Escherichia coli. Its description in RNAcentral is "23S ribosomal RNA". It matches the Rfam family "Bacterial large subunit ribosomal RNA". Lineage: Bacteria; Pseudomonadati; Pseudomonadota; Gammaproteobacteria; Enterobacterales; Enterobacteriaceae. The record is from RNAcentral.